Molecule: regulatory RNA element, 117 nt
Organism: Erwinia mallotivora
Lineage: Bacteria; Pseudomonadati; Pseudomonadota; Gammaproteobacteria; Enterobacterales; Erwiniaceae
Rfam family: Ribosomal S15 leader
About the family: The E. coli Ribosomal S15 gene 5' UTR can form two alternative structures. One that is a series of three hairpins, The other includes a pseudoknot. This structure causes translational regulation of the S15 protein.
Source: Rfam
CUGGGUUGCUGAAUUAGAGAUCGGCACCUGUACAUUUAUCUUAAAAUUUGGAGUUGAAUAAUGUCUCUAAGUGUUAAAACUAAGGCACAAAUCAUUGCGGAUUUUGGCCGUGACGCA